Molecule: ribosomal RNA, 663 nt
Filed under: Salmonella enterica subsp. enterica serovar Kentucky
Lineage: Bacteria; Pseudomonadati; Pseudomonadota; Gammaproteobacteria; Enterobacterales; Enterobacteriaceae
Description: partial 23S ribosomal RNA
Rfam family: Bacterial large subunit ribosomal RNA
Source: RNAcentral
GUGGGGUGACUGCGUACCUUUUGUAUAAUGGGUCAGCGACUUAUAUUCUGUAGCAAGGUUAACCGAAUAGGGGAGCCGGAGGGAAACCGAGUCUUAAUUGGGCGUUAAGUUGCAGGGUAUAGACCCGAAACCCGGUGAUCUAGCCAUGGGCAGGUUGAAGGUUGGGUAACACUAACUGGAGGACCGAACCGACUAAUGUUGAAAAAUUAGCGGAUGACCUGUGGCUGGGGGUGAAAGGCCAAUCAAACCGGGAGAUAGCUGGUUCUCCCCGAAAGCUAUUUAGGUAGCGCCUCGUGAAUUCAUCUCCGGGGGUAGAGCACUGUUUCGGCUAGGGGGCCAUCCCGGCUUACCAACCCGAUGCAAACUGCGAAUACCGGAGAAUGUUAUCACGGGAGACACACGGCGGGUGCUAACGUCCGUCGUGAAGAGGGAAACAACCCAGACCGCCAGCUAAGGUCCCAAAGUCAUGGUUAAGUGGGAAACGAUGUGGGAAGGCCCAGACAGCCAGGAUGUUGGCUUAGAAGCAGCCAUCAUUUAAAGAAAGCGUAAUAGCUCACUGGUCGAGUCGGCCUGCGCGGAAGAUGUAACGGGGCUAAACCAUGCACCGAAGCUGCGGCAGCGACGCUGAUGCGUUGUUGGGUAGGGGAGCGUUCUGUAAGCCUG